CCACAGACAUUAGCGACAGUCCGUCGUGCAAGAUGAUUACAAUCACGUUUCCCCUGUUGAUUUUUACCACCUUUUAGAGUCUGAGAAUGACAGGUUUACUGAUGACUACUCAACUUCUUCACCGAAGCCAAGUUCCUUCCUUAGUAACUACUUUCCAGUUGUUGGUUCUAUAAACGAUGUAGACGAUUGGGGAUACCAUUAUGAAGCUUUAAACACUUUCCUUCAAUAAAACUCCGACCAUGUGUCACCAAUUAUCUGAGACCACGCAGAUUUGUAUACCAGCCAAGCAUAUUCCUAAAGACGUCAAUAUGAGGACUAAAAUGUCCCGUUUUACACUCUGAACGACUACCAAGACCGGUCUCAUAAUCCCCCCAUCCUUGUCAAUUUACAACGGGUUUAUACUGAGAUAGUAGACAAAAUGUACAAGGGAGUAAGGGUUAAUUAAAUGAUAGGUAGUCGACGUAAUGUUCUCUUGAAUUAACACGACAUUAGAAGAAGGGUUGUACCACAAAUAAAGACCUUGAACCCUGAACCUUUUAGGAACCCUGUCCUUAAUACGCUCCACCAGAUAUGAUGAACCUACUACUAUACCGUGGAUACCGACGACGACACGACAGAGUCAGUGGUAACCUUCUUAAAGAAGAAGUAGUAGCGUCCGACCCUGUGUACAGGAAAUUGUGGGACCCAGUCAAUAUAGGAUUAGAGAUAUUAUUUUAAACGUUACUUUCGGAUCAUACACUACGGACAGUCAUACCCUUCGAUUGGGCAUCAUAUAUAUGAGGUAGACUAGUGUCUUCAUGUCACGGUAAAGUUUGAUAGGUGAGUCUACACACCCCAGGAUCACCCCACACCAGUGAAAUACCUAUGUUUAAAAAACAAUGUAAAUAACUGACAACGUGAUCCUGGUGAACCCAAAUACAUGACUCUUUAUUUUCACUGCAUAAACUUACGAAAUUCCUAAAGGUGUUGAAUUAGUUUUUAGUUAUACUACGUGCUCACUUUUAUAAAGCUUGACUGUUACCAUGUCUUAUACAUUUAUUGGUUAAACUACUCAUAAACAGUUCGAAACCUUAAUAGGUAGUUUGAUCAACGGGUCCAUGAAGGGUCGUCUUACCCAACCGACUUUCCUUUUCGUCUGUAGAGAAUCUUUAGUGGGCCACAUAGCACAAUCGAUACUUACAAGGAUUUAUAAACACCCGACUUCGACACUACUGUCGCCGAAUAAACUACUUAUCUUACGGUAGAGCCCACGAGUUAUUGUUCUGUGGCUAACUCACAGAUUGACCACUUUGAUGUAUACAACACGGUGGUUUCCAUAAACCUACACAUACAAAACACUCCCUAGUAUCUGGUAGCCAACCGUUCGAACUGGGAUCUCGUCACUUUACACAUAAACACCCUAUGAGACCUUUUGUUUUCCCAAUAUUUACAACCACGGGUAGUCUUUUUGCCUACAAACACUCGUACCUACAUCACAGGUCCCUUGUACUUGGUAUAAUACCCCUUGGCCAUCUAAAUUGACUACAGAAGGGACUACUACAAUGUCCGGACCUGUUGCUCUGUCCCCCUCUGCUGUCGUCUCUUCCGUUACUACAUCGUGAUCUCUUCUACUAUCAACCCCAAUAUGGAUAACUUCUACACGUUCUGCUACGUCCCGUUCUUUUACUUGUCUCUCUUGUUGUUUCACUGAGAUUACCUCGUAAUGUUACCGGUUUUGGCUUACUCCUUGCUCUUCAAGUUCACAAAUGUGCCUCCGUAUCUACCGGUUUUGGUUUACUCCUUGCUCUUCAAGUUCACAAAUGUGCCUCCGUAUCUUAACUCUUCCUCGUUCACGUCUCUGUUCUUGGAUUGGGUGGCCUCACACCAUGUCUUUGAGUUCUCGAAUGACUAUGUAUACUAAAUCUACUACCAUGCGAAGGAGUAAGAGAAGGUGUACUCCUAAAUCUACGAGGAUAACGAGAAUCCUUCGUUGGGGCGUGAUGACGACCCUUUAAUGGUAGUUUCGAUAGAGGUAUACUACAGAGUUUAAUACACAGUAUACGUAGGAACCCAAGGUUCAUAUUCAGUAAGUAACGUCGAAAUCUAAGAUAUCUAGGAUAUGGUGUACUGACCGUUCAUCGUUAUUUCCUGGGUUCUACCUCUUGUUGUUACAAACUUCUCUACCUUCGUGAACUGUUUUUGUUAUGAACCUAGGAGUGGUGAGAAGGACGUCCCUUUUUCUGACACCCAACAUUUACCCAUAAGUGACAUUUUGUCUGAGGUCUUCCAUUUCACCUCUCCAUGUUCCGGUCCAAUCAUCGUUUCCCCAUAUCGGUUUGGAUACCUCAUCUAAUACUACUUUGAAAACGGGGUCAUCGCUUUUACUUGUGGUAGUCUUGUUAUUAGAGUUAACGUCGUUUGGCAUUAACCUUCAACAAAGUUUACCUACAAUUUUUACGUAAAGAGGUACCUCUGAACGUCCUUCUCCACAUAUACCUCUAAGGAGGUCCUAAGUUAUCGGCACUCUGACUUCCGUUCCAAACAUUUGAUUUUUUUAGGGAGAUACCAGACUUUGUUAGUGGAGCUCGUACCAAACCUUCCAAGUCUUUUCCUUAAACGAGGAACCCCAUAGCUGUUUCGUUACGACUAGUGUGAGAGAAGAAAUUUGCAGUAGUACUAUUCUAAUGAUAUGACUGACAUAUACAACUACUAUAUCAUUAGUGUCCCCUACUACAACUCCUCUAUAGUAUGAACUUCUUCUACUACCGAUUUUAUAAACUUCAAUUUCUGAACCCGAUAGAAGUAAUAAAAGACCCCUAACUUCAACGAAUACCCCGUGUUCCAUAAAUGGAAAGAGUUUCCUUCAUACAUGAACUAGAAGAAUUACUUUGUCCAUACAAUCCUACGUUUGGUCGCCGAUGUGGAUAACUCGUUUUAGUAGCAUGGAACCGUCUGAGUCCACUGGGGCAUCUGUUUAUGGUUAUAGUCUCCAAUCAACCGGCAAAUUAGAUAAAUAGCGUGUGUUCCGGUCUAUAACGUAUACGUCAAUCACAACAUUCGGCAAUAUACGUACUAGGAGCAAGUCCGGUAGAUCUCCACCAUUUAGCUUAAAACUCUAUAGAUUUUCCAACAGGUCCCUUCCCUUAGGAUAAAAGAUUAGUACCUGUAAACUUCCAUCUCCCUAUAUGACUACGUCUAACCCGACCUACAGAUCUACUAUCUGCCAGAUGUAGUCCAAUAACACACAAACAACUUCUAUUAGAUCAAACGACCUCUUCAUUUUUCGUUUCACACCACCGUGCUAGAUGACGACUCCGUCUUAAGUCCAGAUACCGAAGACCAAAUACACUUGACUACACCAACUCCUAUAAUGAUAGACUCGAGCCAAAUAAGCUACCUCCUGGUGAUGUUGAGAUAACACUAUUGGUUCGACGUUAGUUAUAUCACGUAUUAGGUCAAGUCGUACUAUCUUGAUUCGUACAACUUUAACUAUCUGGUAAUCUCUCUUCAAUCUACUCCCCUGGAAGCACAAUGAAAACAAUCUAGACUAUCAGUUAACCGUCUACAUGAAUGUUUUCCACAAUCACAACACAGAAAACAUUUGAAUACAUCGUUCUACCCUGAGUACCUAUAUAAGCGGGGUAGAACUCCCCCUCACAACCUCCAGGAUCGAAUCCUUUUAUCUUGACACAUCCCCGAUUAUACAUUAAACAUGUAACAUAUAUGUCUCCACUUCCUUCUCGUGGACUCCACUAACUUCGAAGUCCUUUAAAGGGGUGAUCUGUAGUUUAUAGUUCUAUAGUACCAUAGGGUAGAGCGAUUCAUAGUACAUAACUCUUUAUAUAGUUGAGUAGUAAACUGUUUACGGG
Molecule: ribosomal RNA, 3848 nt
Filed under: Triticum aestivum (bread wheat)
Lineage: Eukaryota; Viridiplantae; Streptophyta; Magnoliopsida; Poales; Poaceae
Description: partial small subunit ribosomal RNA
Source: RNAcentral